GAUGAACGCUAGCUACAGGCUUAACACAUGCAAGUCGAGGGGCAGCAUCAUUAAAGCUUGCUUUGAUGGAUGGCGACCGGCGCACGGGUGAGUAACACGUAUCCAACCUGCCGACAACACUGGGAUAGCCUUUCGAAAGAAAGAUUAAUACCGGAUGGCAUAGUCUUCCCGCAUGGGAUGACUAUUAAAGAAUUUCGGUUGUCGAUGGGGAUGCGUUCCAUUAGGCAGUUGGCGGGGUAACGGCCCACCAAACCAACGAUGGAUAGGGGUUCUGAGAGGAAGGUCCCCCACAUUGGAACUGAGACACGGUCCAAACUCCUACGGGAGGCAGCAGUGAGGAAUAUUGGUCAAUGGACGAGAGUCUGAACCAGCCAAGUAGCGUGAAGGAUGACUGCCCUAUGGGUUGUAAACUUCUUUUAUACGGGAAUAAAGUGAGCCACGUGUGGCUUUUUGUAUGUACCGUAUGAAUAAGGAUCGGCUAACUCCGUGCCAGCGGCCGCGGUAAUACGGAGGAUCCGAGCGUUAUCCGGAUUUAUUGGGUUUAAAGGGAGCGUAGGCGGGUUGUUAAGUCAGUUGUGAAAGUUUGCGGCUCAACCGUAAAAUUGCAGUUGAUACUGGCGACCUUGAGUGCAACAGAGGUAGGCGGAAUUCGUGGUGUAGCGGUGAAAUGCUUAGAUAUCACGAAGAACUCCGAUUGCGAA
This 701-nucleotide ribosomal RNA is filed under the name uncultured Bacteroidales bacterium. RNAcentral describes it as "bacterial SSU rRNA". It matches the Rfam family "Bacterial small subunit ribosomal RNA", at positions 28 to 719 of the family's 1533-position model. The record is from RNAcentral. Lineage: Bacteria; Pseudomonadati; Bacteroidota; Bacteroidia; Bacteroidales.